AUGCUGUUGACUGCUGUGGCAUUGGACGCUAAUGAUUUUUCCAUUCCAGUAGCAUGUGCUAUCGUUGAGGGUGAGACCAAGGAAAGUUGGUUGUGGUUUCUUAGGAAUUUGGAGCGAGCAGUGGUGCAUCAGUCUGAUGUGUGCAUUAUACACGACUACAAAAGGGAGUUGAUUGAUGCUGUGGAAGACCUUCUGAAAUACGAAUAUCGACAGUGGCGUAAAGCAGAAAGCCGGUGGUGCAUGGAAGACCUUGCUGAAAACUUCUUUGCGUAUUUUGGCGACAAGAAGCUGCUGCUGAUGUUCAAGAAACUUUGCCAGCAGAAGCGACGCCAUAAGUUUGGUAAAAUCUGGAAGGAGCUAGACGAGUUAACGUCCACAUAUAUGGCGGAGAAAGAACGUGGCGCUAGUGGGAAAAUGCAGCAGGAAUCAGUCAAGCAUGAGGUGGCAGACCUUGAGGCACAAAGCCAAUGUAACCAACAUGAUUCUGUGAAGGAUGGGAAGGAAGAAGAUCAUGCCGAUGACACCAAAGGAAAGAUAACAAAGUUCUCUGAUUGGAUCAGUCUGAAACCAAAGGAGAAGUGGUCACUGGCAUAUGACAGAGAUGGAGCAAGGUAUGGCUUCAUGGGCAGUGAUAUAGCUGAUGUAUAUAAGAACGACCCUGUGUUGAAAGGUAUCACAUGCCUUCCGCUCAGUGCGAUAGUGGAGGUUGACAUGAAUUCCAAAAUGCAGAAAUCU
Molecule: ribosomal RNA, 735 nt
Filed under: Triticum aestivum (bread wheat)
Lineage: Eukaryota; Viridiplantae; Streptophyta; Magnoliopsida; Poales; Poaceae
Description: partial small subunit ribosomal RNA
Source: RNAcentral